RNAcentral lists this ribosomal RNA (477 nucleotides) under uncultured bacterium. Its description in RNAcentral is "partial 16S ribosomal RNA". It matches the Rfam family "Bacterial small subunit ribosomal RNA", at positions 28 to 523 of the family's 1533-position model. The record is from RNAcentral.
GAUGAACGCUGGCGGCGUGCUUAACACAUGCAAGUCGAACGGUAAGGCCCUUCGGGGUACACGAAUGGCGAACGGGUGAGUAACACGUGGGUGAUCUGCCCUGCACUUCGGGAUAAGCCUGGGAAACUGGGUCUAAUACCGGAUAGGACCACUGCCUGCAUGGGUGGUGAUGGAAAGCUUUUGCGGUGUGGGAUGGGCCCGCGGCCUAUCAGCUUGUUGGUGGGGUGAUGGCCUACCAAGGCGACGACGGGUAGCCGGCCUGAGAGGGUGACCGGCCACACGGGGACUGAGAUACGGCCCAGACUCCUACGGGAGGCAGCAGUGGGGAAUAUUGCACAUGGGCGCAAGCCUGAUGCAGCGACGCCGCGUGAGGGAUGACGGCCUUCGGGUUGUAAACCUCUUUCAGCACCGACGAAGCGCAAGUGACGGUAGGUGCAGAAGAAGGACCGGCCAACUACGUGCCAGCAGCCGCCGUAA